RNAcentral lists this transfer RNA (91 nucleotides) under Pseudomonadota bacterium. RNAcentral describes it as "tRNA-Ser". It matches the Rfam family "tRNA". Rfam says of the family: Transfer RNA (tRNA) molecules are approximately 80 nucleotides in length. Their secondary structure includes four short double-helical elements and three loops (D, anti-codon, and T loops). RNAcentral also lists the same sequence under 1 other name. Lineage: Bacteria; Pseudomonadati; Pseudomonadota. The record is from RNAcentral.
GGAGAGGUGGCAGAGCGGUCUAUCGCGGCGGCUUGCUAAGCCGUUGUACGGGUUUUCGCCUGUACCCAGGGUUCGAAUCCCUGCCUCUCCG